UGGGGAAUUUUGGACAAUGGGGGCAACCCUGAUCCAGCAAUGCCGCGUGUGUGAAGAAGGCCUGCGGGUUGUAAAGCACUUUAGGGGUGGAGAAAGGCGAUUGUGCUAAUAGUACAAUUGAUUGAUGUUACACCCAGAAUAAGCACCGGCUAACUCUGUG
This 160-nucleotide ribosomal RNA is filed under the name uncultured bacterium. RNAcentral describes it as "partial 16S ribosomal RNA". It matches the Rfam family "Bacterial small subunit ribosomal RNA", at positions 355 to 507 of the family's 1533-position model. The record is from RNAcentral.